Molecule: ribosomal RNA, 396 nt
Filed under: uncultured Orphella
Lineage: Eukaryota; Fungi; Kickxellomycota; Orphellales; Orphellaceae
Description: SSU rRNA
Rfam family: Eukaryotic small subunit ribosomal RNA
Source: RNAcentral
CCAGCUUCAAUAGCGUAUAUUAAUGUUGCUGCAGUUAAAAAGCUCGUAGUCGAAUCUCUGUCUCGUCAAACUCGAACUAGUUCCUUUUAGGGCUGGCCUUCGAACUGUUUGCGAGACAUCCUUCUGGUUAGUGUUUCUACCCUUGAUUGGGCUGGUCACACGAUCCAGAUCUUUUACUGUGAACAAAUGGGAGUGUUUAAAGCAGGUCUUUAAUCACGCCUGAACCGUUUAGCAUGGAAUAAUAAGAUAAAACUUGGUUUUAUUUUGUUGGCAUUGUAAAACGAAGUAAUGAUCAAUAGGGAUAGUUGGGGGUGUCCAUAUUCAGGGGGUAGCGGUGAAAUGCGAUGAUCCUCUGAAGAUGAACUAAUGCGAAAGCACUCACCAAGGAUAUCUUCU